Molecule: ribosomal RNA, 742 nt
Filed under: uncultured Bacteroidota bacterium
Lineage: Bacteria; Pseudomonadati; Bacteroidota
Description: bacterial SSU rRNA
Rfam family: Bacterial small subunit ribosomal RNA
Source: RNAcentral
CUGAGACACGGACCCAGACUCCUACGGGAGGCAGCAGUAAGGAAUAUUGGUCAAUGGAGGCAACUCUGAACCCAGCCAUGCCGCGUGCAGGAAGACAGCCCUCUGGGUCGUAAACUGCUUUUAUUCGGGAAUAAACCUAUUUACGUGUAGAUAGCUGAAUGUACCGAAGGAAUAAGGAUCGGCUAACUCCGUGCCAGCAGCCGCGGUAAUACGGAGGAUCCAAGCGUUAUCCGGAUUUAUUGGGUUUAAAGGGUGCGUAGGCGGCUUAUUAAGUCAGGGGUGAAAGACGGUGGCUCAACCAUCGCAGUGCCCUUGAUACUGAUGAGCUUGAAUACACUAGAGGUAGGCGGAAUGUGACAAGUAGCGGUGAAAUACAUAGAUAUGUCACAGAACACCGAUUGCGAAGGCAGCUUACUAUGGUGUGAUUGACGCUGAGGCACGAAAGCGUGGGGAUCAAACAGGAUUAGAUACCCUGGUAGUCCACGCCCUAAACGAUGAAUACUCGCUGUUAGCGAUACACAGUUAGCGGCUAAGCGAAAGCGUUAAGUAUUCCACCUGGGGAGUACGCCCGCAAGGGUGAAACUCAAAGGAAUUGACGGGGGCCCGCACAAGCGGAGGAGCAUGUGGUUUAAUUCGAUGAUACGCGAGGAACCUUACCCGGGCUUGAAAGUUAGUGAAUGAUUUAGAGAUAGAUCAGUCCGCAAGGACACGAAACUAGGUGCUGCAUGGCUGUCGUCAGCUC